Molecule: non-coding RNA, 84 nt
Filed under: human gut metagenome
Description: THF riboswitch
Rfam family: THF (Tetrahydrofolate) riboswitch aptamer
About the family: THF riboswitch presents a pseudoknot that joins P1-P2 and the loop of P3 and two THF binding.
Source: RNAcentral
GAGUAGGACGGAUGCGUCAAGUGCCACCUGAUGGGAGUUGCAGAUGGACGAAGGCCAUAGCCGCGGUAUCCGUCUGCAUCCGCU